RNAcentral lists this transfer RNA (72 nucleotides) under Candidatus Aenigmatarchaeota archaeon. RNAcentral's name for it is "tRNA-Asp". It matches the Rfam family "tRNA". From Rfam's summary of the family: Transfer RNA (tRNA) molecules are approximately 80 nucleotides in length. Their secondary structure includes four short double-helical elements and three loops (D, anti-codon, and T loops). Lineage: Archaea; Nanobdellati; Candidatus Aenigmatarchaeota. The record is from RNAcentral.
GCCUCGAUCGUCUAGCGGCUAGGAUACAAGCCUGUCACGCUUGUGACACGGGUUCAAAUCCCGUUCGAGGCG